This 8070-nucleotide long non-coding RNA is filed under the name Homo sapiens (human). Its description in RNAcentral is "non-protein coding LINC02320:16". The record is from RNAcentral. Lineage: Eukaryota; Metazoa; Chordata; Mammalia; Primates; Hominidae.
GUUCAGGGACAACCCUGUGAUCAUGGUUUUGGUCACAUAGCUUCCAAGUGAGUGUUGUGCAAACAUUUGCUAGGAUCUCUCGGGGAGCCUGUUAGAAAAGAAACUCCUGAGCCUGCUCCAGAGCUUCUGUUCAGCAGGCCUGAGGUGGGACCAUACACCUGUCUUUUCAGCAAGCCCCCCCCCACCUCUGAGGAUGCACCCCAAAGCUAGAGAAUUCCUGCUCUGAGCCAUCUCUGAAAGCACCAAGAGCCAGAGAUGGAGUCUCACUACAUUGUCCAGGCUGGAGUGCAGAGGCUAUUCACAGACAUGAUCAUAGCACACUAUAGCCUGGAACUCCUGGGCUUAUGCUAUCCUCCUGCCUCAGCCUCCCAAAUAGCUGGGAAUACAGGGCCAGGGAAGCUGGGCUGGAGGAAGCUGUCUGGGAGCCCAGGAGGCAAGCAGAAAACCGCCAGGACCGCCCCACGCUGGGGGAGCAGCAGGCACGGCCCCUACCAACACCCCCUGGCACCUCGCAAAGCUAGAGCCCGCCCGGUCCCCUCCCCGGAGCGCCCUGGUCUUUGGUUCGUAUUCAGCACAUCUUCAGAAACAGUGAUAGAAAAAUGCUGGUUUCUGACUCCACCAGCUCACGGAGGAGAUGCCAGCUCACGGAGGAAAAUCUGGAAGGUGUUGAAGCAUAGACGCUGGAACAUAAAAUGACUCAUGAUCUCACUGGGAGAAGGGCUGGGAACAUCGUGGGCUCUCUUCUCCCCGCGCUCCUCUCUCCGGGUCUCUGUUUCCCUCAUUCCACGAUGUUUAGUGAGUACCUGCAGAGGGGGCUUCCCGGGAUGCAGGGCUCAGGGCAGGGGUGGGGGCGAGCGUGGGCGAGGCAGAGCGGGCGAGCGCGGGCUGGGAAGGGCGCCCCUGGCGGGCGGCCCGGGCAUAAAGGCUUUUGAGCUGGCCUCGCGGGCAAGGCAGGAGGACUGCCUGGGGGAGGCGGCCAUACGCCCACCCUAGAGGAAAGCGGCCACCAACGCUGAGGGUCCGGCCCCCACUGACCCUCUGAGACCGAGCCGCCUCGUGUACCAGCGAGGCCACCCGCGCACCUGGCUUGGGCUCCCAGCCCCGCGCCCCUCCACGUCGGAGGCGCAACACCUGUACCCGAGCCUCGGACUCUGAGAACGUCUGGCCUUUAGAUAGGCCUCGCGCUCCCAGCGCUGGGGAGUCCUGCAUCCCCUAACCGGUGUCUCUCCCGGAUGCAAUGGAGGUGAACCCCUGGGGUCUCGCGGAUCCCGAGUUCAAAGCGACCACAGACUGCUCUGCUUCCAGGACAUCCCCUUGGACACCCUCCUCCCCCGCCCAGGCAACCCAAAACCAGCAUGUCCCCAGACACACUCCCCUAGACACACUCCGCAACGCCCCAGACCUGCUCCCCACUGAGUCCUCUGUAUCCAGGAACCAUCGGCGCACUACAUCAGACUAGAGGUCUGGGGUCACCCGACCAUCCCGCCACAAGCCCCUCCGAGGCAUCACUGUGUCCAGAUUUUGCAAACUGCACCUCCUGAAGGGGCUGGGGUCUGUCCACUUCGCCCCAUCUGCCGUGGCAGCACUUCCUCCGUGGUUCGCACCCCCACAGCAGCCUCCUGGGAAGGCACCUCCCUGGGGCCCCUCUCAGUCCACGGUGUGGAUAUGGUGAGUUCUUAAACCAUGAACUUCUGAUUUCACAGCUCUGCUUGAAGCCUUCAAUGUCAGGCUUCCUGUUGCUCUUAAGAUAAUGAUCAAAACUCUCAACAAAGUUCCCCUGAUAAAUGCUCUCAACGUGCCCCCCACCACAGCAUCCCUAACUGUAAUGAAUACAUCAUUGGUCCUCACGGCAGCGGAUUAAUCGUCUGUGAGUGUUGGUUUAAUCUUUCUCUUCUGGAGUUUAGCUGUCACUGCCAUAUCCCCAGCACGGAGCACAAUGACAUGUUUAUAUGUAGAAAAUUGAGCGAAAAAUAAAAACAGCUAACAUUUGGGUACUUAUUAUCUUCCAGGCAGCAAGCUAUGCAUUUUGCAUAUAUUAGCAAAUCCAUGAGGCAGGUGCUGUCUUCAUUGUACAGGUGAGGAGCCUGAAGCUCAGAGAGGUGAAGGAACAUCCUCAAGGCCACGCUCUGAAAUCAACAAAAGAUACAUCAGUUUAUUGUGGGAAACAUCAGAACAUGCAGAGAUAUUAACAAAGAGAAGUCACUCAGAGAUGACUGUCAUUAACAUUUUGGUGUAUUUCUUCGUAGACAUUUUCCUAUGUCUCUGCAUAGUAACAUACUGUCCAGAGUGCUUGUAAUCUGCUAGACGGUUUGAUGAGACCAAGUUUUCAUGGUAUUAGCCACGGCAAUAUUUGUAUUCAUAUUUUAGGGUAUGGCUGAACUGAAAUUUGCUUUUGCUCAACUCAGCCCCUCUUGUGAACAUUAGGCACUUUGCACUUCACCUGCUGAAAACGUGGUAGUCAUAAACACGCUGGUAGCUCAAUCGUCCCACCUAUCUUUACUAUGUUAUUCAUUCCUAGCAGUGGGGCCUGGGUCAAAAGUUCUGCAGGGUUUUAAGGCUUUGGAUCAGUGGUUCGGGAUUGUCCUCUGGGACGGGCUGAGAAGCACACAUGCCUGCCGGUGGUGACAAGCAUUCCUUCCUAGUGCAGAGUCAGGUCUGCACCUGGCACCCCCUACCCAUCCAGGUUGGGUCCCUGGCAUUCAGUUAUGUGGAACAGACCAGAAAAAUUAAAAAAGAACCCCCUCCCGCAUCUUCCCCGAAGGACCACUGGCCUGCUGUCUCUCCCCGCACUCCCCCACUGGAGUUCAUACCCACUGAAUCACGACCCCCUUGUGGCUAAGCCCUGGUGCGCCACCCUGCAAAAUCAAAGGUGGUGUCUAGGCACAGAAAUGGCUCCGUGACCUAUGUCCCCUUUGUUCUAAUCUAGAAUCCAGCCAGGAGUAUGCGUGUCAGAAGCCAGGGGUGAUUGUGUUUUUUCUCCUUCCUCUUUCUUUAGGUCAGGAAGAUUCCUGCAGCUGCUGAGUUAGUACUUUUAAGAAAGUACUGGAUUCCCUCUCACAAUGGGACUUUGAUUUUUUUAAGAAAAAGGUUUCAUAAGUUUUCAAAUAACCUGGAGCAGUUGAGCAAACUUAAUGUGCAGCGUGGUCCCUGCUGGCUGGGUUUGAGGGGCUGGGUCUCUCUGAGUGGAUGCUGGUGAGGUGCAGAGGUGAGUGAAGGCUUAUCCGGGAAUGGAGGAGAAGGGGACAGCCUGGGGAAUAAAAAAGAACUUUCCGUGAGACGCUGUACCUCAAUGCUAGAUAAUGCCAGGCUGGGCUUUUGCUAGUCUUAAAAACUACAUCACGCAUGUUAUAGGCAAAGGCCGGCAGCCCCUCCCAGGGAAAGCCCUUUGUUUGAGUCCAUAGAGACCCCCUAUUGCAAGGGCCCCUUUCGUGAUUUUUGAGGGGUCUGCAGGAAAAGAGGGCAGAGGUCGUAGUUUGGGGAUCGCUGGUGACCAUGCACCAACUUUUUUGUUGUUUCCAUCUCAGGAAGAAGAAAAGGUGCCUGAGGGCCUGUGUGGAAGGCCUGUCACACAGCACAUCCUGGGAAAUCUGUCCAGGAAGCAGCCAGGCGGGCAUCAGCCAGGCGGGCAUCAGCAUCUUCACUGUGCAGAUGAGAAACUGAGGCCGCAGAGGUGAAGGGACAUGCCCAGGAUCACUAAGGCAAGACGGGGGAAGAGCAGAGAUCUUGGGCAUGAUCUCGGCUCACUGCAACCUCCACCUCCCAGGUUCAAGGGAUUCUCCUGCUUCAGCCUCCCAAGGAGCUGGGAUUACAGGUGCCCGCCACCACGCCCGGCUAAUUUUUGUAUGUUUAGUAGAGACAGGGUUUCACCAUGUUGGCCAGGCUGGUCUCGAAUUCCUGAUCUCAAGUGAUCCGCCUUGCUCUGUCCCUUAGGGACCUCAGCUUAGUGUUCCACACACUGGCAGAUCGCCUCGUUCUUCUCAGGGCUCAGUGUUUUCCUGAGUCUGAACCACGAUCUGGGUAGCCAUCCCCUGGCGAGGACCAUUCGGGGUUCCAGCAGUCACAUGCCACGGUAAACAAGCUUCGUAAACAUCCCACGACAAAGGUGGGAGAGAAUCCCAGUAGGGACAAUGACUACAGGUGGAAUUGCUGGGAAAAAGUAUGUCGGUUUUAAGUGUUGAUAACUGGUCCUUUAUUGGUCGUGGUCAUUCAUUCUUCUGCCAGGCGGGGCUGGUGUUCCUAUAUCCUCUCCUCACCAACAGAGCGUCUUAUGUUUAUUUGUUGGCAACGUGGCAGGUGAAACAUGUACCCUGUCAUUAAAAAAAAUUAUACUUGGCUGGGCACGGUGGCUCACACCUGUAAUCCCAGAGCUUGGGAAGCUGAGGUGGGUGGAUUGCUUGAGGCCCGGAGCUCGAGGCUAGCUUGGGCAGCACAACGAGACCCUGUUUCUACAAAAAAUACAAAAAUUAGUGGGGUGUAGUAGUGCACGCCUGUAGUCCCAGCUACUGGGGAGGCUGAGGUGGGAGGAUCACUUGAGCCUGUCUCAGAACAAACAAACAAACAAACAAAAAUAAGAAAAAAAUACAUAGUUUUAAAACAGUUUUAAACACAUUUGGGAAAAUAUAGGCAGUAGAAAUAGCAGUUGUGCUGUUAAUGCCUCAGACAGGGCUGGGCUCGUAGUAGGUGCUCAAUAAAUAUGUAUUAAGUAAGUGAAUAAGGAAGAAAAUCCCAUGGCUCUGCCAACAAGAAACACUUCUGUCAACAUUUCACUGUGUUUGUUUUCCUGAGUAUUUUUUCCUCUACAUAAUUUAGCUUUGUUUUCCAUUCAUUAUGCUCACCCGUGCAGACACAGUUUUUAAUCUUGUUUCUUUUUUUUCACUUCACGUUGUUGACAUGUGUGUUUCUCUCUUCUAAGCAGCGUUUCAGCAUCUCUAUAAAACCCUCACAGGUAUGUGAACCAUAGAUCAUUUGAAUCGUCUAUUGUGCUUUUAGGCUGUUUUCAAUUUUUCUUUUUAUAAAUGAUGCAGCAGAGUAUCUUUAUGCAGAGACCGUUUCCAUACUUCCCCCUGUGCAGAAGGAAAAGUAGGCAGAAGAAAGAUUAACUUGGUCAAAGCUUUUAAAAUCUGAUUUAAUACUUCUUAAGAAUGAUGCACCUUAUGAAACAACUUUAUAUCUGUUGAAAAACCUAGUUCUUUUUUUAAUAUUGUUUUAAAAAAUGACUUGUUCUGAACAAUAUCCUGUGCCUUUCAGAAGACAGCGACGGAUAUGAAAGGAGAUUUGUUCUCUCCAAGCUCUUAGGAGGCGAUCUGGCUCAGGAAACAGACACAUCAGAUCCGAGCAUGUAUCUGAUGGUUGCUAUGGGAACAAGUCAUUUAACAGCCACUCAGCUAAAGCAUUGAUCAAUAAGGAAGGGGGCAGGAGGGAAAUAAAUUAGUUGGUGUCUGAAUAGCCCUGAGAGAGAGCAAUAAUGCGUCCCCUUCCCAUGGCAGGGGCCCGGGCAGGAGGCAGGGGCGAAGUCUCGUCCAUCCACGCUGGGAUGUGUGGGGUAGGAGGGCAGAGGGGGCAGAGAACAGAAUCAUAUUGGGGUGAGAAACCUGCUCCCCAAACCAGAUAUGGGGCAAGUGAGGCCUUAGACAAGGCUGGGGGCAGGGCUCCCAGGGAUGGGGGCACGGCUGGUCCCGCUUCUCCACGCUCCUGUGAUGUGCUUGCCGGGCCUGCUGGGAUACCCUGUGGCACCCCAUCGCUCUAGUGGGGAGUUCCGGUCUAGAGAGGAGCCGUGACUCCUUCCAGGCACAUGGUCAACCCCACUUGUCUUCUGGGGGCUCCCAGCCUGGCAGGGGAGAAAGGCAAAGGCCCUCACGGGGUCGUUCAUUGAUUCAUCCACAAAUACUUCCUGAGCCUGUCUGAGGGACCAUGCUCAGGCCUGGGCAGACAGCAGAGACCCAAGGAAAGAACAGAACUUGGGCUCUGGGGCCAAAUCGUGGCUCGGCCACUUGGCAGGCUCUUCACCUGUAACGUGUUGAGAAAGUGACGUAAAGUCAGAGCCAGGAGUGGGCAUCCUGAGUGCUCAGCUGCCAUUGCUGGGACUCAUAAUCGCAAGGGAAGGCAGAGACAGAAGUGAGGGUUCCUAAGUGGAAGGUACUCAUAAAGCCUUGGCUGAAUACGUAUGGCUGACACAGGGGUGUCUGUGUUUGCCACCAAAGGGUGGCCCUGGGCUGGGAUUACACACGGAGAGAAGGCGGGAGGAAAGUCAGGGAGCCUCAGACCAUUGGAGGCUGCAUCUAUUGACCUCUGAUCCCCACAGGCAUGGGUGUGGGUGUGGGUGUGGGUGUGGCUGGCUCAAGGGUCAGUGCCCACCAGAGAACUGGACCAUAGAUGAGCUGGACUUUUCCAACCCUGCCAGCCUGGGCCAUCUCAAGGGUGCUAUUGGUUGUGAGGGGAGGAGGCCCUCUUUUCUGAGUCCCUCCCCAGAUGAGUGCAAGCUGGGACACAUAUACGAGAAGGAUCCUAAUAACAUGCAUGCCAAAAUCCUGCUGUCCCAGCCUUUGGUUCCAGCAGUUUGACUUCUGGAAGUCUUUCCCAAGGAAAUAACCUUGAACCCACGGUGUCUGCUGUAGCAUUCUUCAUAAGAGUGACUGCAAACAACCUCUAAGCCCCAAAUCAUGUAUUGGUUAAAAAAAUAAUGAUUCCUUUUCUUGCUUUAACUCAGGUGAUCCCUAGAAACACAGCCAGUGGCCCGGAAGCUGCACUGUUUUGUGCACCGCAGGGAUGGGCACAGAUGGGGCUGCCUGCCCUCCUCCUGGAAGGAGGGAGAACCCAGUCUGGCCUGGAGUGGUCAAGAGCUAACUCUAGACUCAGCAAGACCUACUUCUCUCUCCUGCCCCUACUUCCUUGCUGCUGACCUGGGCAAGUCGCUGAAGCCUCUCCGUGCCUCAGUCUGCUCGUGCGUAAGAUGGGCACAGGGCACACUGCCUACUUGAUUGGGCUCAACCACGUGCAGUAAGUAGCUGGUGUCUGGCAAGAGCCCUCAGGAAACAGUAACCCCAUUAAUUCAAAUGCACGUGCCUGGAACAGGCUCUGGGGGGCCAGCCCGGGAGUCCCACUCCAUGAUGGCCACCCUGGGGCCUGGCAGGCUGGGCUGGCAUCCCAGGCCCACCGGAUACUGGCUGUGCACCCCGGCCAGGCCACACAUCUCUGAGCCUCACUUUCCCGUGUGUGAGAUGAGGCUAGAAGCUGCUUUCUCUUGCGUGUGUGGGGAUUGGCGGUGACAACACGGCCAGGAGCCCAGGCCCAGCCUACGCGAGCAGCCUCGCUCCAGGCCACACGCCCCACUCCUGACAGCUCUGUGCAGCGAGUUCGUGCGCGAGCGGGUGGCUGUCUGCCAGGCGAGGGGCGCGGGUGCCCAAGAGGGCUUCACUGCUUCUGGAAAGAUCACAAGGAAAAACCACCUCCGCGGCGGGACGCUACCCGCGGGCCGCUGCGGUCCCGCUCGCGGCCGGCAGGGGGCAGGAUGUCCCCGCGAGUCGCCCGUGUCUUCGGGUGUCCUCAGGUCACCCCGCACCGCUCGCAGCCUCCGCGCCUAGUUAAAGGGCGACGCACUCAUUUCUGCAAAGAAGGAGCCCAGCGGCCCCUCCCCGGGGAACUCUUUCCAUCAACUCGGGGCCUAAUAAUUUACAUUUAAUUUGUUAGCGGUUUAAUGUUUAAUUUUAAAAGCGAGAUGAUUCAUUACCAUAUUAAUAAAUAAUAACAUUUAUUAUUCUCCUAAUGAGUGUCCAAAAUACAGAAGCAAUUACAUGUUUUAUAUAUUUUCUCGUAAUUUGAGACACCAGAGCGUUAAUUACAGAGACUCACGCGUGGACCCCAUUCUGAUCCAGGGUCCUGAUCCUGCCUUUGUUUCGGUCUCUGAACCAGCCGCCCUCCGGGGCUUCUGCAAUUCCCUCAAUUAGAGGAGAGGAAGUCGUACGUGACGAAGCUGGGGCUCUCACAGAACCCCGGCGCCCCAGACCCAGGAGCUGCAAGACCUCAGCUCCCCGUGCCCACACUCGGAGACCCAGGCCCCUCCCAGUCCCCCGU